RNAcentral lists this ribosomal RNA (116 nucleotides) under Pteropus vampyrus (large flying fox). The record is from RNAcentral. Lineage: Eukaryota; Metazoa; Chordata; Mammalia; Chiroptera; Pteropodidae.
GUCUAUGGCCAUGCCACCUGAACGUGCCUAAUCUCAUCUGAUCUCAGAAGCUAAGCAGAGUCGAGGCUGGUUUAGUACUUGGAUGGGAGACCACCUAGGAAUACCUGGUGCUGACA